GGGUUGUGAGGUUAAGCGACUAAGCGUACACGGUGGAUGCCCUGGCAGUCAGAGGCGAUGAAGGACGUGCUAAUCUGCGAUAAGCGUCGGUAAGGUGAUAUGAACCGUUAUAACCGGCGAUUUCCGAAUGGGGAAACCCAGUGUGAUUCGUCACACUAUCAUUAACUGAAUCCAUAGGUUAAUGAGGCGAACCGGGGGAACUGAAACAUCUAAGUACCCCGAGGAAAAGAAAUCAACCGAGAUUCCCCCAGUAGCGGCGAGCGAACGGGGAGCAGCCCAGAGCCUGAAUCAGUGUGUGUGUUAGUGGAAGCGUCUGGAAAGGCGCGCGAUACAGGGUGACAGCCCCGUACACAAAAAUGCACAUACUGUGAGCUCGAUGAGUAGGGCGGGACACGUGGUAUCCUGUCUGAAUAUGGGGGGACCAUCCUCCAAGGCUAAAUACUCCUGACUGACCGAUAGUGAACCAGUACCGUGAGGGAAAGGCGAAAAGAACCCCGGCGAGGGGAGUGAAAAAGAACCUGAAACCGUGUACGUACAAGCAGUGGGAGCACAGAGCAAUCUGUGUGACUGCGUACCUUUUGUAUAAUGGGUCAGCGACUUAUAUUCUGUAGCAAGGUUAACCGAAUAGGGGAGCCGAAGGGAAACC
Molecule: ribosomal RNA, 646 nt
Filed under: Escherichia coli
Lineage: Bacteria; Pseudomonadati; Pseudomonadota; Gammaproteobacteria; Enterobacterales; Enterobacteriaceae
Description: partial 23S ribosomal RNA
Rfam family: Bacterial large subunit ribosomal RNA
Source: RNAcentral